Molecule: ribosomal RNA, 478 nt
Filed under: uncultured bacterium
Lineage: Bacteria
Description: bacterial SSU rRNA
Rfam family: Bacterial small subunit ribosomal RNA
Source: RNAcentral
AGAGUUUGAUCCUGGCUCAGGAUGAACGCUAGCGGCAGGCUUAAUACAUGCAAGUCGAGGGACAGCACAGGUAGCAAUACUGGGUGGUAACCGGCAAACGGGUGCGGAACACGUACACAACCUUCCUUUAAGUGGGGGAUAGCCCAGAGAAAUUUGGAUUAAUACCCCGUAAUAUAGUUGAAUGGCAUCAUUUGAUUAUUAUAGCUACGGCGCUUAAUGAUGGGUGUGCGGCUGAUUAGAUAGUUGGCGGGGUAACGGCCCACCAAGUCUACGAUCAGUAGCUGAUGUGAGAGCAUGAUCAGCCACACGGGCACUGAGACACGGGCCCGACUCCUACGGGAGGCAGCAGUAAGGAAUAUUGGUCAAUGGACGCAAGUCUGAACCAGCCAUGCCGCGUGAAGGAUUAAGGUCCUCUGGAUUGUAAACUUCUUUUAUUUGGGACGAAAAAGGGCCUUUCUAGGUCAACUGACGUACCAGA